This 216-nucleotide ribosomal RNA is filed under the name Glomeromycotina sp. RNAcentral's name for it is "partial small subunit ribosomal RNA". The stretch from base 40 to 216 matches the Rfam family "Eukaryotic small subunit ribosomal RNA", at positions 686 to 864 of the family's 1831-position model. The record is from RNAcentral. Lineage: Eukaryota; Fungi; Glomeromycota.
GGGUCAGUAGGUUGGUCGUGCCACCGGUACGUACUGGUCUCACUGAUUCCUCCUUCCUGAAGAACCGUAAUGCCAUUAAUUUGGUGUUGCGGGGAAACAGGACUGUUACUUUGAAAAAAUUAGAGUGUUUAAAGCAAGCUAACGCUUGAAUACAUUAGCAUAGAAUAACGAAAUAGGACGAUCGAUCCUAUUUUGUUGGUUUCUAGGAUUGACGUA